This 431-nucleotide ribosomal RNA is filed under the name uncultured Elusimicrobium sp. RNAcentral's name for it is "bacterial SSU rRNA". It matches the Rfam family "Bacterial small subunit ribosomal RNA", at positions 958 to 1385 of the family's 1533-position model. The record is from RNAcentral. Lineage: Bacteria; Pseudomonadati; Elusimicrobiota; Elusimicrobia; Elusimicrobiales; Elusimicrobiaceae.
AACGCGAAGAACCUUACCUGGGCUUGAACUACUGGUAGUAAGUCUUUGGAAACAUGGACUGAUCCGCAAGGAAGCCAGCAGAGGUGCUGCAUGGUUGUCGUCAGCUCGUGUCGUGAGAUGUUGGGUUAAGUCCCGCAACGAGCGCAACCCCUAUCUCAUGUUGCUAAUCCCGCAAGGGAUGCACUUUUGAGAAACUGCCUUCGAUAAGAAGGAGGAAGGUGGGGAUGACGUCAAAUCCUCAUGGCCCUUAUGUCCAGGGCUACACACGUGCUACAAUGGCCGGUACAACGGGAAGCAAUACCGUAAGGUGGAGCCAAACCCUGAAAGCCGGCCCCAGUUCAGAUCGUGGGCUGAAACUCGCCCACGUGAAGGCGGAAUCGCUAGUAAUCGCGAAUCAGCAGGUCGCGGUGAAUACGUUCCCGGGCCUUGUA